This 841-nucleotide ribosomal RNA is filed under the name uncultured archaeon. RNAcentral's name for it is "bacterial SSU rRNA". It matches the Rfam family "Archaeal small subunit ribosomal RNA", at positions 1 to 840 of the family's 1478-position model. The record is from RNAcentral.
UUCCGCUUGAUCCUGCCGGACCCGACUGCUAUCAGGGUGGGACUAAGCCAUGCGAGUCAACGCCGCAAGGCGUGGCAUACGGCUCAGUAACACGUAGUCAACAUGCCCAGGGGACGUGGAUAACCUCGGGAAACUGAGGAUAAACCGCGAUAGGCCAAGGUUUCUGGAAUGGACCAUGGUUGAAAUCUAUACGGCCCCUGGAUUGGACUGCGGCCGAUCAGGCUGUUGGUGAGGUAAUGGCCCACCAAACCUGUAACCGGUGCGGGCUUUGAGAGAAGGAGCCCGGAGAUGGGCACUGAGACAAGGGCCCAGGCCCUAUGGGGCGCAGCAGGCGCGAAACCUCUGCAAUAGGCGAAAGCUUGACAGGGUUACUCUGAGUGAUGCCCGCUAAGGGCAUCUUUUGGCACCUCUAAAAAUGGUGCAGAAUAAGGGGUGGGCAAGUCUGGUGUCAGCCGCCGCGGUAAUACCAGCACCCCGAGUGGUCGGGACGAUUAUUGGGCCUAAAGCAUCCGUAGCCGGUACUGCAAGUCUUCCGUUAAAUCCACCUGCUCAACAGAUGGGCUGCGGGGGAUACUACAGGGCUAGGAGGCGGGAGAGGCAAACGGUACUCAGUGGGUAGGGGUAAAAUCCACUGAUCCACUGAAGACCACCAGUGGCGAAGGCGGUUUGCCAGAACGCGCUCGACGGUGAGGGGAUGAAAGCUGGGGGGAGCAAACCGGAUUAGAUACCCGGGUAGUCCCAGCUGUAAACGAUGCAGCUCGGGGUGAGAUGGGGUUGGCCUUGAAGCCAACCCAAGUGCCGCAGGGAAGCUCGUUUAAGUCUGCCGCCCUGGGGAGUACGG